AUGAGGACGACGUUCAGCCCCCUCCUGGCCAGCUGCGGAAAUUCAUUCACUUACUCAGCGGCACUCCCACACCCUGGCCACCAGUGCUGGGGAUGGAAGAGGGGCCUGUUCCAUGGUAGGCAAGAGCCACACCCAAGCCAGCACCUCUGGGUUUUCCUCCAAGCAACCAUGCAGCAGAGGCAGAGGCGCUAUCCCCUUCAUCGGGACCACGUGGUGAACGGCGGCUCUGCUGACUGCUUGCUCCACGACACUGAAAUUCUUAUCCAGCUUCGAAAGCCACCUUGCUCUGCAGCCUCCCCUCCUGAGGGAGAGCGGAAGUCACUGCUUUCUAGGUUUCAACAGGCGCUGCGUUCGGGUGGUGACUGGGCCCGAAGGCCUGAGUGGUAAUAGCUUGGCUUGUUUCGUC
This 406-nucleotide long non-coding RNA is filed under the name Chinchilla lanigera (long-tailed chinchilla). RNAcentral describes it as "lncRNA (ENSCLAG00000027799.1)". Lineage: Eukaryota; Metazoa; Chordata; Mammalia; Rodentia; Chinchillidae. The record is from RNAcentral.